Small nuclear RNA from Ursus americanus (American black bear), 107 nucleotides. NCBI's taxonomy places the organism in Eukaryota, Metazoa, Chordata, Mammalia, Carnivora, Ursidae. The record is from Ensembl.
GUGCUCACUUCAGCAGCACAUAUACUAAAAUCAGAAUGAUACAGAGAAGAGUGGCAUGGCCCCUGCUCAAGGAUGACAUGCAAAUUGGUGAACCGUUCCAUAUUUUA